GGGCGAGCGUUAUCCGGAUUCAUUGGGCGUACAGCGCGCGUAGGCGGUCUGCUAAGUCCAUGGUGAAAGCGUGGGGCUCAACCCCAUAUAGCCAUGGAUACUGACAGACUAGAGUACUGGAGAGGGUAGUGGAAUUCCAUGUGUAGCGGUAAAAUGCGUAGAUAUAUGGAGGAACACCGGUGGCGAAGGCGGCUACCUAGACAGAGACUGACGCUGAGGCACGAAAGCGUGGGGAGCAAAUA
This 242-nucleotide ribosomal RNA is filed under the name uncultured bacterium. RNAcentral describes it as "partial 16S ribosomal RNA". It matches the Rfam family "Bacterial small subunit ribosomal RNA", at positions 532 to 774 of the family's 1533-position model. The record is from RNAcentral.